Molecule: long non-coding RNA, 375 nt
Filed under: Gossypium barbadense (sea-island cotton)
Lineage: Eukaryota; Viridiplantae; Streptophyta; Magnoliopsida; Malvales; Malvaceae
Description: long non-coding RNA (GBAR_LNC008728)
Source: RNAcentral
UCAUACUUAACUAUUAAAUUUCCAGCAUAUUUUCCUAAUUUCGAAAUUUCAUCAAUUUAGUCCAUACAACAUAAAACUUAUGAAUUACUUUACAAUUCAAUCCUUAUUUCAUUUCUAACUUGAAUUCCUAUCAAUCUAACCCCUAAUUCAUCUUUUUAUUCAACAUGAACAAUAUUUAAAAAUCUAAUAACUUUCAAAAUAUUCACUUAAUUUCAUCAAAACCUUGUCCCAAAGCUUCCAAAACAUCAAAAUUAAGUAAAAAGGGCUAAAUUGACUUACCUAUUUAACUUUCAAGCCUUGAAAUCCCAAUUUUUCCCUUUUUUCCUUCUUUCUUUUUUUUUUCCUUCCUUUUUUUUCCCUGCUCUCUGUUUCGUU